GACGAACGCUGGCGGCGUGCUUAACACAUGCAAGUCGAACGGAAAGGCCCUGCUUUUGUGGGGUGCUCGAGUGGCGAACGGGUGAGUAACACGUGAGUAACCUGCCCUUGACUUUGGGAUAACUUCAGGAAACUGGGGCUAAUACCGGAUAGGAGCUCCUGCUGCAUGGUGGGGGUUGGAAAGUUUCGGCGGUUGGGGAUGGACUCGCGGCUUAUCAGCUUGUUGGUGGGGUAGUGGCUUACCAAGGCUUUGACGGGUAGCCGGCCUGAGAGGGUGACCGGGCAACAUGGGGACGGAGAUAGGGCCCGGACUCCAGGGGGAGGAAGAGGGGGGAAAUAUGGAACAGGGGGGGAAGGCCUGAUGCAGAACGGCGGGGGGGGGGAGGCGGGCUUUGGGGUGGAAACCCGUUUUCGCCGGGAAGAAGGGGGGGGGGAGGGAAGGGGGAAAAAAGGCACGGGUAAAUUAGGG
This 468-nucleotide ribosomal RNA is filed under the name uncultured bacterium. RNAcentral describes it as "partial 16S ribosomal RNA". The stretch from base 13 to 373 matches the Rfam family "Bacterial small subunit ribosomal RNA", at positions 40 to 399 of the family's 1533-position model. The record is from RNAcentral.